GUUUAACGGCCGCGGUAUCCUGACCGUGCGAAGGUAGCGUAAUCAUUUGUCUUUUAAAUAGAGACCUGUAUGAAUGGCAUAACGAGGGUUUAACUGUCUCCUUCCCCUAGUCAAUGAAAUUGAUCUGCCCGUGCAGAAGCGGGCAUAAUAACAUAAGACGAGAAGACCCUAUGGAGCUUUAGACAAAAGGCCACACAUGUAAAGACCAAAAUUAACCAAAAGGAUAUAAUAUCGACAAAACCCAAUGUAAAUUGGUCCAAAUGUCUUCGGUUGGGGCGACCAUGGGGGAAAACAAAGCCCCCACGAGGAAUAGGGGUAAUCCCCUAAGCUAAGAGGAACACUUCUAAGCAACAGAAAAUCUGACCAUUAUGAUCCAGGUUGUUAAACCUGAUCAACGAACCAAGUUACCCUAGGGAUAACAGCGCAAUCCUUUCCCAGAGUCCAUAUCGACGAAAGGGUUUACGACCUCGAUGUUGGAUCAGGGACAUCCUAAUGGUGCAGCCGCUAUUAAGG
RNAcentral lists this ribosomal RNA (513 nucleotides) under Serrivomer sector (sawtooth eel). Its description in RNAcentral is "partial 16S ribosomal RNA". It matches the Rfam family "Bacterial large subunit ribosomal RNA", at positions 1922 to 2570 of the family's 2925-position model. Lineage: Eukaryota; Metazoa; Chordata; Actinopteri; Anguilliformes; Serrivomeridae. The record is from RNAcentral.